The sequence is a ribosomal RNA, 377 nucleotides long. It matches the Rfam family "Eukaryotic small subunit ribosomal RNA", at positions 582 to 975 of the family's 1831-position model.
AUUCCAGAUCCAAUAGCGUAUAUUAAAGUUGUUGCAGUUAAAAAGCUCGUAGUUGAACUUCUGGCGGAUGUUUUCGCUGGCUUCGGUCGCGUUAAUGUCUGUCAUCCGCUAGGGAACCUCGUUCGGUCUUCAUUGGUCGGCGGGAGGAUCUGGCAUUUUACUUUGAAAAAAUUAGAGUGUUCAAGGCAGGCGAUCGCCAUGAAUACACAAGCAUGGAAUAAUGGAAUAGGACUUAUGGUCAUUUUAUUGGUUAUUGACUGUAAGUAAUGAUUAAUAGGGACAGUUGGGGGCAUUAGUAUUUAAUUGUCAGAGGUGAAAUUCUUGGAUUUAUUAAAGACUAACUUAUGCGAAAGCAUUUACCAAGGAUGUUUUCAUUA